UGGGGAAUUUUGGACAAUGGGGGAAACCCUGAUCCAGCCAUCCCGCGUGUGCGAUGAAGGCCUUCGGGUUGUAAAGCACUCUUGGCAGGAAAGAAACGUCAUGGGUUAAUACCCCGUGAAACUGACGGUACCUGCAGAAUAAGCACCGGCCAACUACGUGCCAGCAGCCGCGGUAAUACGUAGGGUGCAAGCGUUAAUCGGAAUUACUGGGCGUAAAGCGUGCGCAGGCGGUUCGGAAAGAAAGAUGUGAAAUCCCAGAGCUCAACUUUGGAACUGCAUUUUUAACUACCGGGCUAGAGUGUGUCAGAGGGAGGUGGAAUUCCGCGUGUAGCAGUGAAAUGCGUAGAUAUGCGGAGGAACACCGAUGGCGAAGGCAGCCUCCUGGGAUAACACUGACGCUCAUGCACGAAAGCGUGGGGAGCAAACAGG
Molecule: ribosomal RNA, 429 nt
Filed under: Acidobacteriota bacterium
Lineage: Bacteria; Pseudomonadati; Acidobacteriota
Description: Acidobacteria bacterium partial 16S ribosomal RNA
Rfam family: Bacterial small subunit ribosomal RNA
Source: RNAcentral